Molecule: ribosomal RNA, 220 nt
Filed under: uncultured bacterium
Lineage: Bacteria
Description: partial 16S ribosomal RNA
Rfam family: Bacterial small subunit ribosomal RNA
Source: RNAcentral
UCCACGCCCUAAACGAUGCUGACUAGUUGUUCGGGAAUUUAUUCCUGAGUAACGUAGCUAACGCGUGAAGUCAGCCGCCUGGGGAGUACGGUCGCAAGAUUAAAACUCAAAGGAAUUGACGGGGACCCGCACAAGCGGUGGAUGAUGUGGAUUAAUUCGAUGCAACGCGAAAAACCUUACCUACCCUUGACAUGCCACUAACGAAGUAGAGAUACAUUAG